CGCAAAACGGGGAUUAGAUACCCCGGUAGUCCAGGGUGUAAACGCUGCCGACUUGGUGUUGGAGGCCCUUCGGGGGCAUUCAGUGCCGGAGAGAAGUUGUUAAGUCGGCUACUUGGGGAGUACGUCCGCAAGGAUGAAACUUAAAGGAAUUGGCGGGGGAGCACCGCAACGGGAGGAGCGUGCGGUUUAAUUGGAUUCAACACCGGAAAACUCACCAGCGGCGACUGUUACAUGAAAGUCAGGCCGAUGACCUUACUAGAUUUUCAGAGAGGUGGUGCAUGGCCGUCGUCAGUUCGUACCGUAAGGCGUUCUCUUAAGUGAG
Molecule: ribosomal RNA, 322 nt
Filed under: uncultured Methanomassiliicoccales archaeon
Lineage: Archaea; Methanobacteriati; Thermoplasmatota; Thermoplasmata; Methanomassiliicoccales
Description: bacterial SSU rRNA
Rfam family: Archaeal small subunit ribosomal RNA
Source: RNAcentral